This 1473-nucleotide long non-coding RNA is filed under the name Heterocephalus glaber (naked mole-rat). RNAcentral describes it as "lncRNA (ENSHGLG00100046672.1)". The record is from RNAcentral. Lineage: Eukaryota; Metazoa; Chordata; Mammalia; Rodentia; Bathyergidae.
UUUUCUUCCUGUUUCACAUUAUCUGUUACACAUUUUGAUUCUUAUUUACACUUUCAGUUUCUCACACCAGAGAAGCUAUUUGGUAUUUACAUGUCGGGACAGACGCAUUUAAACAGGGACCUGAGGGCCCGAGGAUUUAGCUCAGAGGUUUCGCUGCCUGCUGAGCAAGCGGAAGGACCCGAGUUCGAUCCCCGGUACCAAAAAAAUAAAAUAAAAUAAAUAAAUAAAUACAUAGGGACCUGAAAGCAACAAUUAACUGGUUGGAGAGGUUAGAUGGGAAGUGGAGUAGAGUACAACAGGCCCAGGAAACAAUUCUUGAGAAACCCCUAACGCAACCCUGCAAGCUACAGCAGUGAGAACAAGGAGACAGAAUUCUCUGGAAGCCAAGGAUUUCCUGACUUCUGAUCGUGUGAGCUAUACGGACCUCAGCCCUGCCAACUAGGGACUUCACACUACACUGGCCAGAGGUAACUUCCUGACAGAGAAACCACACCCACCAAAUAUUCCGCAGGGCCCCCAAACACAGGAGAGGGAAGGAGAGGGGCUGGCGAGGGGUCAACAGCGAGCAGCUUUCCCAGCGGAGCAGGAAGAAGCCAAAAAGGCUGGGGUGGAAGAGACCGUGAAAAAGUAACUACCGUCACGUGCCCCGUACCAAAGCUGGGAACUUGGGCGAGCAAUUACCAUUCCCGACUCUGCUUCCAGGUGGGUGUCAUCAGCCCCAUUUUUCAGGUGAGAAAACCGAGGUUUGGUGACUUCCCAGGGCGGGGCAGGGAUGUGUCUAUGACCGCAGCGUCUCCUCUGGGGCCCUCACGACCCGUAAAGUACGAGGGGGAACAAGCAUCGUGUGGGAGAUGCCGCAGCUUUCCAAGCGUCCACGGCGUGAGUGCACUUCUCGGCGACAGCUGCGUCUCCCUGGUCGCGUCAGUACUGAUUAAUGUCGCUUUCCUUUAAGGGACUUCCCUCGAAUAUGAAAUCCUCACCACACAGGUCCCGGGCACUUCUCCCUCUCCCGCACUGAUGCCCGCUGGUGACACCAGUUCUCCUUCACUGGCGAGUGCCCGCUUGGGACUACAUUUCCCUACAGGCCGUCCAGAAAGGUGGCGCGGAGAGACUUCCGCUUCCGGCGGCUCGCAGUGCGGCUCGUCCGCGGUGCCCGUUUCUGCAGCCCACGUGCUCUCCCGCAGCGCUCAGGAGGGACUACGUCCCCCAGCAGGCGUUGGCGCACAGGGCGAGUGGCGGCCACCAUCUCUGUUGUAGUCCUUCUCCGCGUUUCCGCAGGGAAUGCCGUAGCGCCCGGACUACAAUUCCCAAGUCGCCGCCCCUUUCCUCUGGCCACCAUCUUGCUGCAGUCCCCGCCCCGGCCCUCCCGGCCAUUGUCUCCGCUGAGGCGCUGAGGCGGCGGGAAGACUGCAACUCCCGUCGGGCUUUGCGCCGCCGGGUGCGGGAUUUUGAGAGGCGGGCGAGGCACCCAAG